AUGAUGUUCUCCCAGCUACCUGUGGUGGUGAAAAAUGGUUCACUGGGCUGA
Molecule: small nucleolar RNA, 51 nt
Filed under: Pyrococcus furiosus DSM 3638
Lineage: Archaea; Methanobacteriati; Methanobacteriota; Thermococci; Thermococcales; Thermococcaceae
Description: PFUsR63
Source: RNAcentral